Molecule: long non-coding RNA, 6258 nt
Filed under: Nicotiana tabacum (common tobacco)
Lineage: Eukaryota; Viridiplantae; Streptophyta; Magnoliopsida; Solanales; Solanaceae
Description: long non-coding RNA (NTAB_LNC010415)
Source: RNAcentral
GGAACUAACGCCUAAUACAUUGAAGAAGAGAUCAGAAAUGAGCGCAGCAAUACACAUAUAGAGAGACCCCCCUGUAUCUCGCCCCUUGACAGAAGAAAAAGAGCCAUUUCAAUGGCUUCUUCUUAACAAACACCAGCGAAACCUCACUUCCUUCAACAUCCGAUCUUCCCCACCCAUGAAAUUGCACCUUAGAAUUUCCUGAACCAUCACCCUAAUCUCUAAGGCAUACAUAAAAUCGACUAUGAACCAUAGGAGGAGAAGAGGAAACCGAAAAAUCCCUUCCUCUAGGCCUACUACUACCUCCAAUUUUUCAAAAUCAAAGACCCUCAAACUCUGAUUUUCCAACAUUCAAACAUACACACACACACACACACACGGACAGAAGCAGUGACGAGAAGGAGAGAUCAGUGAGGUGUCCGAUUCAAGGUUCUGUCCGCGGAUCUGAUUCGUCGCCAAGGCUCGACGUUCGCUGCUGUGUUAUCCGGCUUGUCGGAGGUUUUUGUUUGUUAAUACAUUGAAGAAAGGUUAGCACAAUUUUAUACACAGUUGAAUUUAAUUGCGUAUGGUUCCUACUGGAUUCCACUUGUUCAUGAACUCAUUCUGUUUAAGUUAAGAGGAAUUGAACUCCAGAUAAAUCGUGAUUUCAUUACUCAUUUUAUAUGAUUCUUCUGUCGGAUUUGUGCAUCCUCAUGCUAGCAUAGCAAUAUAUGUUGAUUGCUCUCAUUAUUUGAUGAAGUAUUCCAUAAAUGGACUAAAGAGAAUUGUGGCAUCAUAUGCUCUAUUUUUUUAGCUUGUUAGUUUCCUGUAAUUGAUCCUGUUAUGUCAUGGUCUGAUUGAAUUUAAAUUCAGAUCUAAAUGCACUCAUUAUAUUCUGUAUUGCCAAGUGAUUACCAUAGUAAUUAAGGAUGGAGAAGGACUCAUGUGAUUGAGUAUUUGGUCGUGUUUUCGUUGUUCUUUUGUUAUGGUUGAUCUGUUUUGCUCGAUUUUUAUUAAGAUGGAAUGGUGGUUGAUUUGUUGUCCUAGUAGAAUUCUGGCGGAUUUGUGUUUUACUGUGGGAUUUUGGCAAGAUUGUUCUAUUCUCUCAUCAUGUUGAGUUGGUCAUAAAGUUUUGAGAUGAAACAUAAGUCGAGUUUCUUAGAGUUGAGCUAUUUUAUAUUGGUCAUAAAGUUGCUCAAAUUUGAGUUAUUUGAUAUUGGUCAUUCUAUUGUCAAUCUUUUCCUGGGUUGGAGUAUUGAAUAUUCUUUGGUGUCUGACUUCUUAAACGAAAAAUGCUAGGCAACCGUGGUUUGAGAUGAAACAUAAGUCAAGAUCUGUUUAUUUUGAAUUCGCUAGGAGCAUGUUUAGGCCGUCGAAACGUGAAUAGAUGAACCUCUGGGCACGUUUAUAAUAACAAUUACCAUAGCUACGGGUACGGUUCCCGUGACGUAGUUGUGAUACUUAAUACCUAACUAGUUAAAUAUGAAUAUCUGUAGUUCAUUAAGUUGAAUGCUUUUCCUUUAGAAUUCGAGGCGUGCCAUUUAAUUGAAUUUUUAUGGCCCUCGCAAAUUUAAAAACGCGUAGUUGCUUUAGGCGCGUUAUUUUAAUAAAUUACCUUCUUAAUCUCGGGUGCGCAUUCAUGUGACCCAAAUCCAAAUCUCAACAAUGUUAGAUAAAAUAUGUCGAGGACCGCGGGUGCAUUUAUGUGACGUGGUUCAAGACGUGUUUUAAUAACAUUGCAAUCUUCCUAAAAAUGAAUAAAAGCAGUUAAUAAGUUAAAAUUGAACUAUAGGCUAAAACAUGUGUUAAGAUCAGAUAAUAGGCCAACAAUAACAGGUGAGCGACCGUGCUAGCACCAAGGGAUCCGGAAUGCCUAACACCUUCUCCCGGGUUAACAGAAUUCCUUACCCGUAAUUUUUGUGUUCGCGGACGGUAAUACAGAGUCAANNNNNNNNNNNNNNNNNNNNNNNNNUUUCGAUUGUCACUUUAAAUUGGAAAAAACUCUUUUAUACCCUUCUAGGGUGUAGGUAAAAAGGAGGUGUGACAACAAUCAUUACUCACCUCGAACCGGUCAAAGCUCUAGCUCGCGACGCCUUUGCCCCUUGAAUCGGCCUCCACUCGCGUCAACUAUAUCCAAAAUCAGAACGAGGACGUCAAAAUAUGCUAAGGGAACGAAGCCCAAACGAAAAUAAUCAAAAUACAACACAAAUCCCGAAAUUAUCAAAACCCGACCCCCGGGACCAUGUUUCGGAAUUCAAUAAUUUUUACAUCAAUAGAUUCCUUAUGUCCCCACGAGUUCAUACAUAUCAAAAGUUCUCAAAUUCAACCUCAAAUGGUCCUUCAAAUCCUCAAGCAAAGGUCUAAGUUUCCAAGCCCUAGUUUCCCCAAUUUUAGCCCUUAAAUUCCCUUACUCAUAGCUCUAAUCCGUGAAAUAAUAGCAUAGGAACGAGUUUUAGGUCCAAAUUCCUUACCUCAAUGAAGUUCCCUUUAAAUCCCUCUUUCAAAUCGUCCAAAAAGCUCCAAAACCGAGUUAAAAAUGGUGAAAUAGCUCAAAAUUCGCGAAGGUCACAAUUUAUACUUUUUGCCCAGACAUUAUUGCAUAUGCGGUCCUUUAACCGCUUCUGCGGUACCGCAUAUGCGAUCCUUCCUACGCUUCUGCGGAAAUCACUUAACUGGUCAACAAUCGCAUCUGCGACCACACCCCCGCAUCUGCAAUGUCGCAGAUGCGGCCACCCUAACCGCUUCUGCGGUCGCUGCUCAUCAGGACUCUUUUCGCUUCUGCGACAAAUCAACUGCACAUGCGGCACCACACCUGCGGUCCCCAAUCCGCAGGUGUGAAGAUACCAGAAGCAGCAAAAUCAGCAACUGCAACAACAUCCAAACUUGUCCGUUAACCAUUCAAAAUCACCCCGAGGCCCCCGGAACCUCAACCAAAAGCACAAACAUGUCCUAAUACCUUAUUCAAACUUGUUCCAAUCAUCAAAACACCUCAAACAACAUCAAAUCACCCAAAACAUAUCAGAUUCAAGCCAAACUUUCUAAAAUCUUCCAAAUUCCGCUUUUGAUCAAAACCUCAACCAAACCACGUCUGAAUGACCUGAAAGUUUGCACACACAUCCCAAAUGACCCAACAGAACUAUUGGAACUCUCAAAAUUCCAUUCCGACCUCUAUAUCAAAAUCUCGCCUACCAACCGGAAAUCGCCAAAAUACCAACUUCGCCAAUUCAAGCCUAAAUCUACUCCGAACCUCCAAAACUCAUUCCGAUCAUGCUCCUAAGUCCCAAAUCACCUUUGAAACUAACCGAACCAUCAGAACUCACAUCCGAGCCUUCUAACACAUAAGUCAACAUCCGGUUGACUUUUCUAACUUAAACUUCCUUAAAAGAGACUAAGUGUCUCAAACCUUACCAAAAUUAUUACGGAUUCGAUUCAACCAACCCGAUACCACAUAACACGGAUAAACAAAGCAUAAAGAAGCAGAAAUCGGGGAAAAUCGAGCGGUAACUCAUGAGACGACUGGCCGGAUCGUCACAUCAGUCCCACAGCCGCGUUCGUGAAGGUUUAGCACUUUCAUGCCCGCUCCCUUCCUUUUUCGUGUUCACGAGCACUGUAUCGCAUUCGCAUAAGAUUAACCAGCCUUUGUUUUGCAUUCACGUCCUCUGCCUCGCGUUCGCGAAGGCCAAACCAGCAACCCCAAAUAUUUCCUCUUCGCGAACGCAGGACUUCUUUCGCGUUCGCGAAGAAGGAAACCAGACACCAGCAAUCAACAACAGCUUUUCAUCCAAAUUCGAUCCGAAACACACCCAGGGCCCUCGGGAUCCCCUCCAAUCAUACAACCCAGUCCUAUAACAUAUCACGGACCUGCUCGAGGCCUCAAAUCACAUCAAACAAUGCUAAAACCAUGAAUCGCACUCCAAUUCAAGCUUAAUGAACUUUAGAAUUUCAAACAUCUAUAUUCGAUGCCGAAACCUAUCAAAUCAUAUCCGAUUGACCUCAAAUUUUGCACAUAAGCCAUAUUCGACAUUAUAGACCUACCGCAACUUCUGGAAUCGGAAUCCAACUCCGAUAUCAAAAAGUCCACUUCCGCUCAAACUUCUCAAAAACCUUCAAAUUUCUAACUUUAGCCAAAUGACUCCAAAAUGACCUACAGACCUCCAAAUCCACUUCCGAUUGCCCUCCCAAUACCAGAAUCAACAUACGAAGCUAUUCCUGGACUCGGAAUCCCAAACAGACAUUGUUAACACUGAAAUGUACUUCAUCCCAAAUUUAUGAAAUUCAUCCAAAAAUGCUGACUUCCAUGGGCGCCAAAAUGCUUCCGCGUCAUCCAAAACCUGAUCCGGACACACGCCCAAGUCCAAAGCCAUCAUACAAACCUACUGGAACCUUCAAAUCCCGAUUCCGAGGUCGUUUACUCAAAAAUCCAAUCUUAGUCAAUUCUUCCAACUUAAAGCUUUCGAAUAAGGAUUCUCUUUCCAAAUCUACUCCAAACUUCCCAAAAUUUAAUUUCGACUACGCGUACAAGUCAUAAUACCUGAAGUGAAGCGACUCAUGACCUCAAACCGCUGAACGACGUGCUAGAACCCAAAAUGACCGAUCUAGUCGUUACAAAGCUUUAGCGCUGGUAUUUUUGGAAUGUUUCCAUAAUCUUCAAAGUCACCUAAUUCGCGGUUCGUCAUGCCUUCACUCAUGGCUUGUCAGAUUCAUCUACGUGCAGCAGAAACUGGACAAGGCCUGGGAGUUGAGUAUGACAAUGCCGCUGCAGCAAAGAGCUAUCCACCUUGUAAGAGAAGCUAGCACCCCAAUAUAUGAAGCUUGGGCAGAAUCUGCGAAAGAAAGGAAAUUAGAUAGCAUAAAUAGAAUUUGAUAUCAGGUAGAAGUAAAUCCAAGACAUUACUAAUUCUUUGCUACUGCUAAUAUGAUUAUGCUUUCACUAAAGGAGAGUUGACGUCAAUUAUUAAAGACAUGACCCAUGUUUUGUACCCUCUUGAAAUUUUGAAAAGUCUUGCAUAAAUUGUCACAACUUGAGCUGCUUUUAUAGGGGGAUGAUUAGGUUAACCCUUUAGAGACCUAGACGGAGUUAGCCUGGUGAAGAUCUUAUGAGAUUUCUAUUCAAUUGUCAACUUUAUAUCUAAGGAAUGGUCUCAUUGUCCACGUGGGUCCCUUGGCUAAUUUUAACACCGUGUAUUGUAUACUGGUCCAAAGAAAGUUAGUGGAUUAAUUAAAAUGAGCUUGUAGCUAGAUUGUUGGCAAUACCAUGUUGGUUGUUGGAAAGUUGCGCAAAAGAUCAAUUAUAAUUAAACAAUUGUCUUGGUCCGCAACCUAAAAGCCAAGUAUUUUUAUGAUACGUGCAACUUGAUUUAUGUGAGAAAUUGAGUCAACUACUCUACGGGUACUUCAAGCCUCGUCUUUACGGUUGAACAAGUCACACGACAAACUUUGAAGUAAGGGACAUUUGUAGACAUGUAAAAUUAUUGAAUUUAGUCCGUACAAAAUUUGAAUUAAAUUCUAAAUCACUUUGUGUCGAAUAAUUAAUUUAUACUUUACAAAUUAAAUAAGUCCAUUUUAAUAUUUGAGCCCAAGGUCCAUUUCAUCUUAAGGCCCAGACUCAUGCCAUGUGUCAAGUGACAUGGCAUGUCCAGUCAAACCCAAAGCCAACAAGAUGAUGCCACGUGUUAAAUGAUGUGGCAAUCCAAGUCAAAAAUCAAGAACCAACCACAGGUUGCCAAAUGGCUAAAAUGACAUGCGCCAAUUAGAAUCAAGCAAGAGAGUUCAUAUGUAGUUGGAUUGUCCACCCUCUACAACUAUAAAUAGAGGGGUUACAUAACUCUCUGGGGACAUUCAGAGUUGGAGAAUAACAUUUCACAAUUGGUGAAAGUAUCCACAAACAGAGAAAUCAAUCAUCAAGUGCAUAGUUCUUCAACAAAGGAGUGAUCAACAGAGUUCUUCCCGAAUAUCAACCCGUAACAACAAAGUGUUGCUCGACGUUCUUGGCGAUUAAAUACAUCACAAGGAGGUCUACAUCGUCCACAUUCGAGAAAGACGCUUCUCAAGCCCUCGAAUCACGGAGUAUUUUAGAGAGGAGAAUCAAGGGAUAGAUAGAUUUGAACUCACAAAUAUUUAUCAACAAAAUUACUUUUUCUUCAUAUUAUUUUUGUUGCAGUUUAUUUUUUGUAUUACGAAAAUUUGUUGCGAACAGGUACUAAACUUUAAUUACUUGUAAUUAGAAGAUGCACAAAUUUUCAAUACUACCUUUAAUUUGACCAACAAGGUCAGGAUCAGGCA